Molecule: unclassified non-coding RNA, 211 nt
Filed under: plant metagenome
Description: partial contains small subunit ribosomal RNA, internal transcribed spacer 1, and 5.8S ribosomal RNA
Source: RNAcentral
UUUCCGUAGGUGAACCUGCGGAAGGAUCAUUCAUAAUAAAGUGUUUUAUGGCACUUUUUAAAAAUCCAUAUCCGCCUUGUGUGCAAUGUUAGAUCUCGUCAAUCUUGGCGAGAUUUUUAUACAUCAACUCAUUCUUUAACUAAUUUGUCUGAAAAAUAUUAUGAAUACUUAAUUCAAAAUACAACUUUCAACAACGGAUCUCUUGGCUCUC